AACGAACGCUGGCGGCAUGCCUAACACAUGCAAGUCGAACGAGACCUUCGGGUCUAGUGGCGCACGGGUUCGUAACGCGUGGGAACCUGCCCUUAGGUUCGGAAUAACUCCCCGAAAGGGGUGCUAAUACCGGAUAAUGUCUUCGGACCAAAGAUUUAUCGCCUUUGGAUGGGCCCGCGUUGGAUUAGCUAGUUGGUAGGGUAAAAGCAUACCAAGGCGACGAUCCAUAGCUGGUCUGAGAGGAUGAUCAGCCACACUGGGACUGAGACACGGCCCAGACUCCUACGGGAGGAAGCAGUGGGGAAUAUUGGAAAAUGGGCGAAAGCCUGAUCCAGCAAUGCCGCGUGAGUGAUGAAGGCCUUAGGGUUGUAAAGCUCUUUUAACCGGGAUGAUAAUGACAGUACCGGGAGAAUAAGCUCCGGCUAACUCCGUG
Molecule: ribosomal RNA, 433 nt
Filed under: uncultured bacterium
Lineage: Bacteria
Description: partial 16S ribosomal RNA
Rfam family: Bacterial small subunit ribosomal RNA
Source: RNAcentral